GCCUCAUUUAAACUUGCCUAGAUAGGUAGUUAUCUUUUGCUUCACCCCUUGCCAUGCUAAACAACAUUUAAUAUUGUUUAGUACCUAACGAGAGAGAACUAAAUAAGUCAUGUGGUGUUUUCUUCAAUAUGCAACUCCAUUGCAUAUUGAGCUCCACUUAAUUUGUAGUGUUGUUUGUUGCACUUUGCCAUGCCAUGCCAUGUAUCUUUAAACUGAACAUGCAUCAUACUUGUUGUGCAUCAUGCCAUGAUUAUGUGGUGGUUGUUUACUAUGUUGUUUGCUUCUUUCCGGUGUGCUUCUUCGGGUUGGUUCCGUUAAUGCCGCGUUUGUGAGGAUUUGUUGGUCUAUGUCUGUUUGUCUUCUUCAUGGACUCGUUCUUCUUCCUUGCGGGAUCUCAGGCAAGAUGACCAUACCCUCGAAAUCACUUCUAUCUCUGCUUGCUAGUUGCUCACUCUAUUACUACGCCUAUGCUGCGAUACCUACCACUUGCUUAUCAUGCCUCCCAUAUUGUUAAACCAAGCCUCUAACCCACCUUAUCCUAGCAAACCGUUGUUUCGCUAUGUUACCGCUUUGCUCAGCCAUUCUUAUAGCGUUGUUAGUUGCAGGUGAAGAUUGUUGUUUGUUCCAUGUUGGAACAUGGAUAUUUUGUUGGGAUAUCACAAUAUCUCUUAUUUAAUUAAUGCAUCUAUAUACUUGGUAAAGGGUGGAAGACUCGGCCUUAUGCCUGGUGUUUUGUUCCACUCUUGCCGCCCUAGUUUCCGUCAUAUCGGUGUUAUGUUCCUGAAUUUUGCAUUCCUUACACGGUUGGGUCAUAAUGGGAACCCCUUGACAGUUCACCUUGAAUAAAACUCUUCCAGCAAUGCCCAACCUUGGUUUUACCAUUCGCCACCUAGCCUUUUCUUUCCCUUGGGUUCUGCAGACUCAAGGGUCAUCUUUAUUUAAACCCUCGGGCCAGUGCUCCUCUGAGUGUGGGUCCACCUCGUCAGCCGUCGGUGGCCACCAGGGGCAACUCUGGGCUGGCCUACCGGAAGUUUGGACAAUCUGAGUGUGCCCUGAGAACUAGAUAUGUGCAGCUCCUAUCGGGAUUUGUCGGCACAUUCGGGCGGUGUUGUUGGACUUGUUUUACCAUUGUCGAGGAUGUCUUGUAACCGGGAUGCCGAGUCUGAUCGGAUUGUCUUGGGAGAAGGAAUAUCCUUCGUUGAUCGUGAGAGCUUGUGAUGGGCUAAGUUGGGACACCCCUGCAGGGAUUGAACUUUCGAAAGCCGUGCCCGUGGUUAUGGGCAGAUGGGAAUUUGUUAAUGUCCGGUUGUAGAAAACCUGAAGCUUAACUUAAUUAAAAUGCAUCAACCGCGUGUGUAGCCGUGAUGGUCUCUUUCCGGCGGAGUCCGGGAAGCGAACACGGUGUUGGGGUUAUGCUUGACAUAAGUAGUCUUGGAUCACUUCUUGAUCAUAGAUUCUCGAACGUGCUUUGCCUUCUCUUCUCGCUCUCAUUUGCGUAUGUUAGCCACCAUAUAUGCUAGUCACUUGCUGCAGCUCCACCUCAUACCUUUUACCCUACCUAUAAGCUUAAAUAGUCUUGAUCGCAAAGGUGCGAGAUUGCUGAGUCCCCGUGACUCACAGUUUACUUCCAAAACCAGUUGCAGGUGCCGGUGAUACCGUAUAGGUGACGCAACCGAGCUCAAGGAGGAGCUCGAUGAAGAUCUUGUUCGUUGUGUUGGUUCGUUUCGAAUCGGUCAGUAGUGGAGCCCAGUUGGGGCGAUCGGGGAUCUGUAGCAUUAGGGGUGGUCUUCUUUUGUUUUGGUUCCGUAGUCGGACCUUGUUUGUAUCUGGAUGAUGUAAUGUUAUAUUCAUGUAUUGUGUGAAGUGGCGAUUGUAAGCCAACUCUAUACCUCUUUCUUAUUCAGUACAUGGGAUGUGUAAAGAUUACCCCUCUUGCGACAUGCCUACAAUGCGGUUAUGCCUCUAAGUCGUGCUCCGACACGUGGGAGAUAUUGCCGCAUCAUGGGUGUUACAUCAUGGUUGGUGUCGAGGUCUUGACCUUCACGUUCUUGUUGGUGAUGGUGUCGAUGCUGAUGUGACCUUGCCGGAGAUGGUAGCUUGGAAGGAUGUGCACUAGAGUGUCUUCUCGAAGAUGAGGAAGAUCUCUUGUAAGACUUCAUGAGGGCUUUGAUCUCCUCCAUUUAAGCAUCCAUCUUGGAGUCCAAGUUGUUGUUCAUGGUACCAAACUCGUCGUUGUUGUUGUAGACCGAAGGAGGUGUGCUUUGCCUAUCCAUCACAAGUCUCG
RNAcentral lists this long non-coding RNA (2284 nucleotides) under Triticum aestivum (bread wheat). RNAcentral describes it as "long non-coding RNA (TAES_LNC020666)". The record is from RNAcentral. Lineage: Eukaryota; Viridiplantae; Streptophyta; Magnoliopsida; Poales; Poaceae.